This 460-nucleotide ribosomal RNA is filed under the name uncultured bacterium. RNAcentral's name for it is "partial 16S ribosomal RNA". It matches the Rfam family "Bacterial small subunit ribosomal RNA", at positions 338 to 795 of the family's 1533-position model. The record is from RNAcentral.
CCUACGGGUGGCAGCAGUGAGGAAUAUUGGUCAAUGGCCGGAAGGCUGAACCAGCCAUGCCGCGUGAAGGGCAGGGCCCUAUGGGCGUUAAACUUCUUUUGUGCGGGAGCAAUAAUGGUCACGUGUGGCCAGACGAGAGUACCGUACGAAUAAGCAUCGGCUAACUCCGGGCCAGCAGCCGCGGUAAUACGGGGGAUGCAAGCUUUAUCCGGAGUUAUUGGGGUUAAAGGGGGCGUAGGCUGUGAGGUAAGUCAGCGGUGAAAUGCCCCCGCUCAACGGGGUGAAGUGCCAUUGAUACUGCCUUGCUGGAAUGCGGAUGCCGUGGGAGGAAUGUGUGGUGUAGCGGUGAAAUGCAUAGAUAUCACACAGAACACCGAUUGCGAAGGCAUCUCACGAAUCCGCGAUUGACGCUGAUGCACGAAAGCGUGGGUAUCAAACAGGAUUAGAUACCCCUGUAGUC